This 546-nucleotide long non-coding RNA is filed under the name Musa acuminata (dwarf banana). Its description in RNAcentral is "long non-coding RNA (MACU_LNC006847)". Lineage: Eukaryota; Viridiplantae; Streptophyta; Magnoliopsida; Zingiberales; Musaceae. The record is from RNAcentral.
UCGAGCAAUAAUAUCGUACGAAGAACUGAAUAAUAUGGCAAGGUGUGUUUGGAUUUUAUGUAUUAGAACCAUGGUGGUGCUCAAAAGGAGAAAUAUUUCUGGUGCUUUUGUUACAUAAGCUCCAGCAUACAACCAUACAAAAUGCCUUUCGUGCAGAGUACUAGCAUACGUAUCAAUCAAUCCAAGACGGGGGGCGAAUGGGAUUCUUGCUUAUCCUCGUGAAGUGAAGAGGGUCGACAUUCAUGAGAAAGAGCGGUUGGCCCGCCGCGGCCUCCUCCUCCUUUUUCCUCCUGCUUGUAUAAUACAUAACAAAGACGAGAGAAGGGUAGAAACGAAGGGACUGCAGCAGUGUCAUGGAGGUGAGAACAUGCUAAAAGCCAAGAAGAGAACAAGCGCCAGGAAGAUAAAGGAAGGAAGCAAAGAGGGAAAAGGUUCCCAUCACCAUCACCUCCGCCAAGUGGGUCGUCUGAUCCAUGUGCAGUCAUGUGGUGGUUUGCCCUCCCAUGUCCCCACCGCAUCAUUCCAGCCUCCUCCUCCUCCUCCUCC